AGGGGUGUAACUCAGUGGUAGAGUGUGUGCUUAGCAUGCAGGAGGUCCUGGGUUCAAUCCCCAGUACCUCCA
Molecule: transfer RNA, 72 nt
Filed under: Camelus bactrianus (Bactrian camel)
Lineage: Eukaryota; Metazoa; Chordata; Mammalia; Artiodactyla; Camelidae
Also listed under: 2 other names
Rfam family: tRNA
About the family: Transfer RNA (tRNA) molecules are approximately 80 nucleotides in length. Their secondary structure includes four short double-helical elements and three loops (D, anti-codon, and T loops). Further hydrogen bonds mediate the characteristic L-shaped molecular structure. tRNAs have two regions of fundamental functional importance: the anti-codon, which is responsible for specific mRNA codon recognition, and the 3' end, to which the tRNAs corresponding amino acid is attached (by aminoacyl-tRNA synthetases). tRNAs cope with the degeneracy of the genetic code in two manners: having more than one tRNA (with a specific anti-codon) for a particular amino acid; and 'wobble' base-pairing, i.e. permitting non-standard base-pairing at the 3rd anti-codon position.
Source: Rfam by way of RNAcentral